UUGGUCAGACGAUCGCUUGCGGGGCAACCCGCAGGAGGAAAGUCCGAACACGACAGGACACGAUGGUGGCUAACGACCACCGGCCCCGGCGCAGGGGUCAGGGACAGUGCCACAGAAAACAAACCGCCACCGCAAGGUGGUAAGGGUGAAACGGUGCGGUAAGAGCGCACCGCUCCUCUGGUGACAGAGGAGGCAGGGCAAACCCCAUCGCGUGCAAGCGCAAGCAGCCCCCGCCGCAAGGCACCUGUUGUCCGCAGGAUGGGGCGGGUCGCGUGCUCCGAGCUGUCCGGCAACGGCAGCCUGAGAGAAAUGAUCGUCGCCCGCAAGGGAACAGAAUUCGGCUUACGACCAGAUCU
RNAcentral lists this RNase P RNA (356 nucleotides) under Phycisphaerae bacterium. RNAcentral describes it as "RNase P RNA component class A". It matches the Rfam family "Bacterial RNase P class A". Rfam says of the family: Ribonuclease P (RNase P) is a ubiquitous endoribonuclease, found in archaea, bacteria and eukarya as well as chloroplasts and mitochondria. Its best characterised activity is the generation of mature 5'-ends of tRNAs by cleaving the 5'-leader elements of precursor-tRNAs. Cellular RNase Ps are ribonucleoproteins. The record is from RNAcentral. Lineage: Bacteria; Pseudomonadati; Planctomycetota; Phycisphaerae.